RNAcentral lists this long non-coding RNA (643 nucleotides) under Callithrix jacchus (white-tufted-ear marmoset). RNAcentral describes it as "lncRNA (ENSCJAG00000066906.2)". Lineage: Eukaryota; Metazoa; Chordata; Mammalia; Primates; Cebidae. The record is from RNAcentral.
UGGAAUGUUCUGGAAACAGAGUAAGCAAGGAGACAAGUGACAGGUGAGGAGGUCGGUGAGAGGCUGGGGCAUCCCGCUCCAGAUCCUCAGUGUGGAUUCUUGGGCUGAUUUUGGAAGCCUUCCAUGGGCUGGCCCCACCUUUCCAGUUUCCUAUUCCUUACCAGGUGUCCAUUCCAGGAAGGAGGCUGACCUGAGAAGGGAAGGAAAGGGCACACCUGGAUCACCCACAGAGCCUCACACUGUGGCCAGUGAAGGCUGCUCACUCGGGCCACCUUCCCAGAGCUGCUGCCACCACCUCCAUCAUCUCCAGCUGCCAGCCUGCCUGACUCCAUCUGCAGAGGAGAAACACGGCUGGAAGCGAGAGAGGCUGUUUUACUUUGUAUGCCCAGGUGUACCCAUGUAGCCACACUCACAAGAUGGGAAACUGGGGCCCAAGGAGGAGCAGGAUGUGUCAUGGGUCUCAUCAAGCAACUCAAUAAGGUCUCCUGGAUCCAAAGCGAUCUUCAUGUGGAGAUUUCCCAGGUUCCACCAAGCUCUGGCAGUCAAAGGUCUAUGGAAAGUUCAGGAAGAAGAAGAGACUGAGGAGAAGGCCUAUGCCUGGUGUAGUGGAUGCUGUGGUGUGCCACCCAGGCCCCAGGCUGAG